GUUUUGAGUGAUUCCAAAGCCAGAUUUUAGAUAAGAUCCUGAAUAUCUUGCAUAACAAAUUUCAGAGCCAAAUUCUAAAAAUACAGCUCAGCAUAAAUCGGGGAACAAACACGUUUUCUGGCCCACAACAUUUUCCAGUGGUGCUGUUUUUUUAUUUGGUCAUCUAAUCUAGUGCUUUUCUUUAGGAAUUCUUUUGUGUGCCAACCUUUAAUUGAGUACCUUUAUUUGUUUGCUUUACUUAAUUGACUCUCUUUCUAGUUGUCACAAUCUAAAUCCUUUUGGUGGUACUGUUUU
RNAcentral lists this long non-coding RNA (294 nucleotides) under Phaseolus vulgaris (common bean). RNAcentral describes it as "long non-coding RNA (PVUL_LNC005343)". Lineage: Eukaryota; Viridiplantae; Streptophyta; Magnoliopsida; Fabales; Fabaceae. The record is from RNAcentral.